This is a long non-coding RNA of Oxyura jamaicensis (ruddy duck), 2577 nucleotides long. RefSeq lists it as uncharacterized. NCBI's taxonomy places the organism in Eukaryota, Metazoa, Chordata, Aves, Anseriformes, Anatidae. The record is from RefSeq and is a predicted model, not a curated record. The transcript is spliced from 2 exons.
GUUUGGAGGUGCUGAGAGGAAACGCAGCACGAGCUUGGUUUUUCAGUUCAGGAUAAAAGGAUAGGAAAAGCCCUUCAGAAAGGUGAAGCAACCUGCUUGUUCAACAGGGUGAAGCUUGGGUCAUGUCCUCCUGGAACAAAAGCCUUGGAAAGAGACAUUAGGAUCCAAGCAGGGAAUGUGAGUGCUGGUUCAAGGUCCGAUUCCCAGCAGUGAGUGGAAGUGGCAGUGCUCACCAUAACAUCCUUCUCACAACAAUAAAGGUCGGAUUUGGGGCUGUGAAACCAGGAACGCUCAGAGCUGAAGACUGCCCACAAGUUGCCCCGAGGGCGCUGCUGGGUGCAGGUGUCAGGGAAAUGCAGGAUGUUGUGUGUAUGCCUGGCAAGUCAGUCCCGUCCCAAGGAAAGGGGCGUGCUUGGUCUGGAACAAAGUCAAGGGCUGCUUGCCCUGUCUGCAUCACCUCUCGAAGCUUGGCUGUGCACUUCUGACCUCCUGGGAUGUCCUUACCCCUGGCUUGAGCAAGAUUCUGUGUUGAGACCGAGAUCCUGGUGUACAACGCAAACUGAGUGGAGUUUGUGGCUGCCUUUUGGUGAUGUCGGGAGGAAAAAGAGGAAGCACAAGGUCUGGUAAGAGGGUAAAAGGGGGGAUGUGGUGCCAAAGAGCUGGAGGCCGCAGUGGUGUGCGGCCUGAAGUGGCAAAGGAGAGCUUGAACACCUUCAAUGAGUAGGGUCGGGGGGUUGUCCUUGGUCCUCCAUCUUAACAGUGAAGGGAAUUGGUGGUGAAAGCAAUGCUGGAGUGACAGAACAAGCAGCCUGUAUUGCUUUUGGAAUAAAGCAGAAUGUUCUCUGCAGGAGCCUGAGUGUGAUUCUGGGGAUAGUUUGUACCAGAGGCUCCUCUCCCUGAUUUCAGGUUUUAUGGAUGCAAUUGGUCUGCCCUUGGUGGCAUCCUCCAGCCCUCUAAACCCCAGGUCUCACUCUUAGAGUCCCCACAGCAGCACAUGCUGUUCUGCAGCACCUUAGCUCUGUCCAAAUUCUUCAUGGACGUCAUUUCAGCAACAAAAAGAGUGAAACCAUAAGAAAAUGUGCUGUCUCCUGGCCUCGGGAAAGCCACAGGAGGAGCAGAGCCAGCCCUGGGUGGUGGGGUGGGGAUGUGCACAAGGUGGUGUAGCAGGGAAGAUGUGAGCUGCUCUGCACCGCUGGGUCCCGGGUGGAUUGCCUUCAGCAGAAUAGAUGUGGGUGCUGGGAAGGGGGGAAAAAAUCAAGGGAGAAAGGUGGGAGGACAGAAAUGGGGUGUGAAGAAGAUUUAGAGGGGCUUGAGGGAAGCAGGUGAGGAAUGACACUCUCCAUCCUCUCCUUUCCAGCACACAGGAGAAGACAAGGUGAGAAAGCAAUGCAAGUGGAGGGAGGGGGCGAUGCUUGUGAGUCACCUGCCUCUGAGACCUCUGUGAGAAGAUGCUGGAAAGGGAAGGGGAAGAGUAAAAAGCAGCAAAAGCUGUGCCUUUGCACCCUGGGAGGGGAAGGAAAGCCCCUUGCAUUCAGAGAAGCACAAGUAUUGAGCCAGCUGGGUGCCGGAACAAAACGCCUGGUUUCCCACUGCUUCCAGUGGCUGUAACGUGGCCAUGCUUGUUGGCAGCGAGUCCCCGUCUGUUUGUGAGUGGUGUGAAAAAGCACUUCCCUUUGUUUGUUUUAAGCCUGCUGCCAGGCUAUCUCUGCACCUUGCAGUUCCUGCGGAGGGGGAAGGCGGGCGGCUGCUCCCCGGCCCCAUUCCCUGCCGCCCGGAGGCACAAAAGCCGAUGGGAACUGGCCACGGCUGCGGGAAGUUGUUGCAUUGUGGCUGUGACAAAGGCUGGUCGCUGCCGUGCCUUGAGCUGCUGCAGCUCUGGCUUCUCCCAGGUGCUGCUUUUGGUCUCCAUCGCUUGGGAAAUUCGUCGUGAUGAGCUGGGCGCUUGGUUUUUGGGCGCUUGGUUUUGGCUGCUUGGUUGUGCGCUUGCUGCUGGCUGUCCCCGCUUCUCCUCCUGGUUGUGAAGAGGCCGGGUUUGGGAAGCAGAGCAAAGUUCCCACCAGAAACACAGCCCGGUGAUAAAGCACAACCCGUACAAACACCUGGCAAGCUUCCCUGGCCUGGCUUCACACCUAGAAUAAACCAAACCAUCUUCCUUCCUGCACCGGCAGCCCCCGAGGAGCCUCUCGCUCCUGCCACACACGCUUUCUGUUCUUUCCAGGAGAAAACGGGCUUCCUCUGGAAAGUUCACACGGUGAAAGCUUUUUAUUUCAGACUCACCCCCUUGACCGUGAUUCCGGCUGAGAGCUGGGAACAGGGAAGGCCGGUCCCCUCCUGCUCUGACUUCAGGCACGUUCUGCGCAUCUGCCACUAAUCAGGGCUCCACAGUGAAAAACCAUGGGGGAAAAAAAAACCUCACAAACAGCUCGGGGAUAGGAUAAAUGUUCUCCCAGUGAUGGAUUUCUUUGGCUUUCUGCAGCGUGGUGCUUGGAGGUGGGAGUGACAAGGUCCUCCUGUCUGCUGCUGCCCUUUUUGCGAGCUUGCUGCCUGCAGAGAGGUGCAGCAGCGCUCCUACGCCAA